This 870-nucleotide ribosomal RNA is filed under the name uncultured archaeon. RNAcentral's name for it is "bacterial SSU rRNA". It matches the Rfam family "Archaeal small subunit ribosomal RNA", at positions 1 to 877 of the family's 1478-position model. The record is from RNAcentral.
UUUCCGGUUGAUCCUGCCGGACCUGACUGCUAUCGGAUUGAUACUAAGCCAUGCGAGUCUUUGUAGUAAUACAAGGCAGACGGCUCAGUAACACGUAGUCAACCUACCCUAUGGACGAGAAUAAUCUCGGGAAACUGGGCAUAAUUCUUGAUAGAUCAUAAUGCCCGGAAUGGUUUAUGGUUAAAUGAUUCGUCGCCAUAGGAUGGGACUGCGGCCUAUCAGCUUGUUGGUGAGGUAAUGGCCCACCAAGGCGAUUACAGGUACGGGCUCUGAGAGGAGAAGCCCGGAGAUGGGUACCGAGACACGGACCCAGGCCCUAUGGGGCGCAGCAGGCGAGAAAACUUUGCAAUGUGCGAAAGCACGACAAGGUUAAUCCGAGUGAUUUCUGCUAAAGAAAUCUUUUGCCAGUCAUAAAACCACUGGUGAAUAAGGGGUGGGCAAGUUCUGGUGUCAGCCGCCGCGGUAAAACCAGCACCUCAAGUGGUCAGGAUGAUUAUUGGGCCUAAAGCAUCCGUAGCCGGCUUUGUAAGUUUUCGGUUAAAUCCAUGUGCUCAACGCAUGGGCUGCCGAAAAUACUGCAUGGCUAGGGAGUGGGAGAGGUAGACGGUACUCAGUAGGAAGGGGUAAAAUCCUUUGAUCUAUUGAUGACCACCUGUGGCGAAGGCGGUCUACCAGAACACGUUCGUCGGUGAGGGAUGAAAGCUGGGGGAGCAAACCGGAUUAAAUACCCGGGUAGUCCCAGCUGUAAACGAUGCAGACUCGAUGAUGCAUUGGCAUAAUAGCCAGUGCAGUGUCGCAGGGAAGCCGUUAAGUCUGCCGCCUGGGAAGUACGUACGCAAGUAUGAAACUUAAAGGAAUUGGCGGGGGAGC